This 205-nucleotide ribosomal RNA is filed under the name uncultured bacterium. Its description in RNAcentral is "partial 16S ribosomal RNA". It matches the Rfam family "Bacterial small subunit ribosomal RNA", at positions 1296 to 1500 of the family's 1533-position model. The record is from RNAcentral.
GAUUGCAGGCUGCAACCCGCCUGCAUGAAGUUGGAAUCACUAGUAAUCGCGGAUCAGCAUGCCGCGGUGAAUGCGUUCUCGGGCCUUGUACACACCGCCCGUCACACCAUGAGAGUCGGGAACACCCGAAGUCCGUAGCCUAACCGCAAGGGGGGCGCGGCCGAAGGUGGGCUCGAUAAUUGGGGUGAAGUCGUAACAAGGUACC